RNAcentral lists this ribosomal RNA (253 nucleotides) under uncultured bacterium. RNAcentral describes it as "partial 16S ribosomal RNA". It matches the Rfam family "Bacterial small subunit ribosomal RNA", at positions 524 to 776 of the family's 1533-position model. The record is from RNAcentral.
GACGAACCGUGCGAACGUUGUUCGGAAUCACUGGGCUUAAAGGGCGCGUAGGCGGGUUCGCAAGUCAGGGGUGAAAUCUUUCAGCUUAACUGGAAAACAGCCCCUGAUACUGCGAGUCUCGAGGGAGGUAGGGGCAUGUGGAACUUCCGGUGGAGCGGUGAAAUGCGCAGAUAUCAGGAGGAACACCGGUGGCGAAGGCGGGUCUCUGGGCCGUAACUGACGCUGAGGAGCGAAAGCGUGGGGAGCGAACAGG